This 253-nucleotide ribosomal RNA is filed under the name uncultured bacterium. RNAcentral's name for it is "partial 16S ribosomal RNA". It matches the Rfam family "Bacterial small subunit ribosomal RNA", at positions 524 to 776 of the family's 1533-position model. The record is from RNAcentral.
UACAGAGGGUGCGAGCGUUAAUCGGAAUUACUGGGCGUAAAGCGUGCGUAGACGGCUAUCUAAGUCGGGUGUGAAAGCCCCGGGCUCAACCUGGGAAUUGCAUUCGAGACUGAAUAGCUAGGGUACGGUAGAGGGAAGUGGAAUUUCCGGUGUAGCGGUGAAAUGCGUAGAUAUCAGGAGGAACACCAAUGGCGAAGGCAGCUCGCUGGAACGGUACUGACGCUGAGGCGCGAAAGCGUGGGGAGCGAACAGG